UCGUAAUGAUAUCAUUAACUACAAAAUGAGAUUCUUGGUUCUAUUUUCUGUGCUCUUUGCGCUCUUGUGUGCCGCGAUGGGUGAAUUCGACUACACUGCAAAUUAUGCCAGACUUGCUUCCCAACUUCCACCCAAUGCCGACGUCCGAAAUUUGGUUAAAUCUCUUCAUGCAGCUAGAAACUUACAUCAACAUCAAUAGCUAUUCGACAUCUCAUUGAAGUAAAUAUGACUUCAAAU
Vanessa atalanta (red admiral) is the source of this 237-nucleotide long non-coding RNA. RefSeq lists it as uncharacterized. Lineage: Eukaryota; Metazoa; Arthropoda; Insecta; Lepidoptera; Nymphalidae. The transcript is spliced from 2 exons. The record is from RefSeq and is a predicted model, not a curated record.